RNAcentral lists this ribosomal RNA (469 nucleotides) under uncultured bacterium. Its description in RNAcentral is "partial 16S ribosomal RNA". It matches the Rfam family "Bacterial small subunit ribosomal RNA", at positions 28 to 507 of the family's 1533-position model. The record is from RNAcentral.
GACGAACGCUGGCGGCGUGCUUAACACAUGCAAGUCGAACGGAAAGGCCCUGCUUUUGUGGGGUGCUCGAGUGGCGAACGGGUGAGUAACACGUGAGUAACCUGCCCUUGACUUUGGGAUAACUUCAGGAAACUGGGGCUAAUACCGGAUAGGAGCUCCUGCUGCAUGGUGGGGGUUGGAAAGUUUCGGCGGUUGGGGAUGGACUCGCGGGUUAUCAGCUUGUUGGUGGGGUAGUGGCUUACCAAGGCUUUGACGGGUAGCCGGCCUGAGGGGGUGGCCGGUCAGCGUUGGUGGGGAUGACACACGGCACCGCCUCGGGGGGGAGGCAGGGGGGGUGAUGGAACAGGGGGGGGCGCAUGGAUGAAGCAGCGCCGCGGGGGGGAGGGAGGACGCCGGUGGGUAACCAGUUUCCCCUGGUGAAGAAGAGGAAGGGACGGUAUGGGGUAAAGAAGCACCGGCUAACUCGGUG